RNAcentral lists this transfer RNA (86 nucleotides) under Merceyopsis cataractae. RNAcentral's name for it is "Scopelophila cataractae tRNA-Ser". It matches the Rfam family "tRNA". From Rfam's summary of the family: Transfer RNA (tRNA) molecules are approximately 80 nucleotides in length. Lineage: Eukaryota; Viridiplantae; Streptophyta; Bryopsida; Pottiales; Pottiaceae. The record is from RNAcentral.
GGAGAGAUGGCCGAGUGGUCUAAAGCGAUGGAUUGCUAAUCCGUUGUGCAUUUUUUGUACCGAGGGUUCGAAUCCCUCUCUCUCCU